This 207-nucleotide ribosomal RNA is filed under the name uncultured bacterium. RNAcentral's name for it is "partial 16S ribosomal RNA". It matches the Rfam family "Bacterial small subunit ribosomal RNA", at positions 568 to 774 of the family's 1533-position model. The record is from RNAcentral.
CGCGUAGGUGGCCUUCUAAGUCGAACGUGAAAUCCCUGGGCUCAACCCAGGAACUGCGUCCGAUACUGGAAGGCUUGAAUCCGGGAGAGGGAUGUGGAAUUCCAGGUGUAGCGGUGAAAUGCGUAGAUAUCUGGAGGAACACCGGUGGCGAAGGCGGCAUCCUGGACCGGUAUUGACGCUGAGGCGCGAAAGCCAGGGGAGCAAACG